Molecule: long non-coding RNA, 2500 nt
Organism: Eriocheir sinensis (Chinese mitten crab)
Lineage: Eukaryota; Metazoa; Arthropoda; Malacostraca; Decapoda; Varunidae
Exons: 10
Source: RefSeq, a predicted model, not a curated record
UGACCCAGGAAACAGUUUUGGGGAUGGAAAUUGGGAAACAUGAGAAACUGAGUACGACAAUCUGGCAACGUUGUACAAUAAUCCCAGCCAUCAGCUGUUCAGUGUUUGUUUACCUCGCGCGGGGAGAGAGAUCCUCGUGCUCCCGGCCUUGUAGCGGUGCCGUGGCGGGGCGUGUAGGCGUUGACAUGUAAGCCCCGGUCGUCUACCCUCCGUGCCCUAUGGGGGUCCGUGGACGGGGCAGCACUCACGGUCAUCGGCACUGCCCAUACACUCAGUCCACCCUGGCGGGGACCUCACCAAUGACCUCCAUGAAAACAGGGUCCCAGACAAGCCAGUUGGUCUGAAGGCCGUGGCGCUGACUGACCACAUCAGGGUGUGCUGGCAGCCCCCCGCACAGCACAAUGUGCUGCUGUGCGGCUACACCAUUGCCUGGGACCAAGGCGUGGCGGACAUCUACUCCAAGAUCGUGGACAGCAAGCAGCACGGUUACUUCAUUGAUAAGCUGGAACCCAACAUGGAGUUUGUGAUAAGCCUGCGAGCCUUCAACAACGUGGGUGACGGGCAACCGGUGUACGUACCAGCAAGUCCACACCCAGCCAGAGGAGGAGGAGGUGGUGGCACCCACGCUGGACCCGGCGGUGUGGGUGAAGGCCGUGGUGCUGACGCCCUUCACCGUGGUGCUGCAGUGGGCAGACACCAUGCUGAGCCAGAACCAGUACAACAGCUGCACCACCUUCUCGUCCUCAUCCUCCAGCCGCUACGUCAACGCCACGGAUGUGACCUGCCUCAUUGACAGCCUCAAGCCAUCAACAGUGUGUGAGUUUGCUGUGAAGACCAUCAGGGUGAGACCACAGUGCUGGAAGCCUUCGUUCUUCUUUCAGUAAAUAUUCACUCAGUCCUGCAACACUUCUCAAGGAAAUCCUGCACAGCUGAAUCCUUGCUGUGAUGAGGCACAGAGAAAUUAUGACUCAUAGGCCUGGUGGCCUCCAACACCCUGCUGGUGGCCUGACCGUCCUGGCCCUCCCUGGCCAGCCGUCCACCACCACCUUCACCCGGCAGCCGCUGCAGCGGAACAAUGGGAGGAUCACAGGCUACGUGAUAUUCCUCACCACGGACCAAACUGUCGGUGACUGGGUGACGGGGGAAGUGACGGGGGACUGGCUCACCCUCACCGUCCAUGGACUGACGCCUUCAAGGAAGUAUUUGCACAAGAUGCACUCUCACAAUGUCAAAGGUUUUGGUCCAUUCUCCUCCGUGGAAAGCUUCACGACUUCCAGGCUGGUGUGUGGAGCGAGAGGCCUGAUUGUGCUGGUGAUCGCUGGCGUGGCAGGAGCCAUGACCAGCUGGGGGCCUUCUUGGCCACCACACUGUACUGCCGCGGGUCAAGGCGGAGCCCAGGCCAAGCAUUGUUGUUGGCGGCAGCUGCAGUGAGAGCAACAAGCCUGGCGUCCAGCCUCCAGACCUGUGGAUCCAUCACGGCCACUUGGAGCUGAAGAACUUUGACAAGGGUGAGCGCAGCAACUCCCCCAACCACGCCUCCAUCAUCCAGCACACAGGAGUCACGUCACAUCACAAUGGGACCGGAAAAGGACAAGAAGGGAGAAGACAAGAAGAAAAGGUCUUCUGCUGCUGCUGCUGCCUCUCCUGAUGAUGAUGAGCAACAAGAAGACACUCAAGAACAACCUGCCAAGAAAGUGAAGGGACGAUCCAAGAAGAGGUCAUCGUCUGCCACCGGGGAGACACCCCCUCCUCCAGCCCUCUUGCGUCACCAAUCCACUUGGACACAGAGCCCCAACCUGGUCAUGAUGAUGCUGGGGUGUGUCUUUUGCUCAAAAUCGGGAGCAAAUUCUUGGAGGAGAUUUGAAACUCGUAGUAGAUCCGGAGUUAUCGGUGUAGUUCGUCGUACAUUGUAGUACUUCGUACUUACAAAUCGGGACAGUUGGUGUGGUUCGUGAUACUUCGUAGUACUUCGGCUCCAAAACUCGGCGUACUUCGGGAGAAAAUCAGGGUGAAAUCAUAGUACAUCGUAGCAUAUUGUAGUACGUCGUAGCACUUCGGGAAAUAAUUCGGUGUACUUCGGGGAAUAUGCCCUCGAGGUCGACCGAACGCCUCGAGAUGAAAAGAUAAACAAAUUUUCGUAGUGAUUCGGGGAAAACGCUGUCUCCCGAGGUGCUACGAUUUUUUUGUGAUUCGGCGUCUGUGAGACCGGGGGGUAAGUGUGUUCUCUCAAAGUUUCCGGUAGUUUGGUCGCUGCUCUCUGUAUUCUUUCCAACUUUCUAAUUUCUUUCUUCAAUGUAGGUGACCACACUAACGCUACAUAUUCCAGUCUUGGACGUAUCACCGAUGUUAUUAGUUUCUUCACCGUCUCUUCGUCUAGAUAUGUAAAUACUGCUUUUAUGUUUCUAAGAAGAUUGUAUGUUUCCCCAGUUAUCCAAUUUAUAUGCUUCCCAAAGGAUAACUUGUCUGUUAUUGUCACUCCCAGAUCCUUAUUCUUCUGUUU